Molecule: unclassified non-coding RNA, 345 nt
Filed under: soil metagenome
Description: partial contains 5.8S ribosomal RNA, internal transcribed spacer 2, and large subunit ribosomal RNA
Rfam family: 5.8S ribosomal RNA (bases 1-119)
Source: RNAcentral
GAUGAAGAAAGUAGCGAAAUGCGAUACGUAAUGUGAAUUGCAAAUUCAGUGAAUCAUCGAGUCUUUGAACGCACAUUGCGCCCCCUGGUAUUCCGGGGGGCAUGCCUGUCCGAGCGUCAUUGCUGCCCUCAAGCACGGCUUGUGUGUUGGGCCCCGUCCUCCGAUCCCGGGGGACGGGCCCGAAAGGCAGCGGCGGCACCGCGUCCGGUCCUCGAGCGUAUGGGGCUUUGUCACCCGCUCUGUAGGCCCGGCCGGCGCUUGCCGAUCAACCCAAAUUUUUAUCCAGGUUGACCUCGGAUCAGGUAGGGAUACCCGCUGAACUUAAGCAUAUCAAUAAGCGGAGGA